This 771-nucleotide ribosomal RNA is filed under the name uncultured bacterium. RNAcentral's name for it is "bacterial SSU rRNA". It matches the Rfam family "Bacterial small subunit ribosomal RNA", at positions 8 to 796 of the family's 1533-position model. The record is from RNAcentral.
AGAGUUUGAUCAUGGCUCAGGACGAACGCUGGCGGCGUGCUUAACACAUGCAAGUCGAACGGAAAGGCCCUUCGGGGUGCUCGAGUGGCGAACGGGUGAGUAACACGUGGGUGAUCUGCCCUGCACUUUGGGAUAAGCCUGGGAAACUGGGUCUAAUACCGAAUAGGACUGCGCUCUUCAUGGGGUGUGGUGGAAAGCUUUUGCGGUGUGGGAUGGGCCCGCGGCCUAUCAGCUUGUUGGUGGGGUAAUGGCCUACCAAGGCGACGACGGGUAGCCGGCCUGAGAGGGUGACCGGCCACACUGGGACUGAGAUACGGCCCAGACUCCUACGGGAGGCAGCAGUGGGGAAUAUUGCACAAUGGGCGCAAGCCUGAUGCAGCGACGCCGCGUGAGGGAUGACGGCCUUCGGGUUGUAAACCUCUUUCAGCACAGACGAAGCGCAAGUGACGGUAUGUGCAGAAGAAGGACCGGCCAACUACGUGCCAGCAGCCGCGGUAAUACGUAGGGUCCGAGCGUUGUCCGGAAUUACUGGGCGUAAAGAGCUCGUAGGUGGUUUGUCGCGUUGUUCGUGAAAACUCACAGCUUAACUGUGGGCGUGCGGGCGAUACGGGCAGACUUGAGUACUGCAGGGGAGACUGGAAUUCCUGGUGUAGCGGUGGAAUGCGCAGAUAUCAGGAGGAACACCGGUGGCGAAGGCGGGUCUCUGGGCAGUAACUGACGCUGAGGAGCGAAAGCGUGGGGAGCGAACAGGAUUAGAUACCCUGGUAGUCC